UACGGGUUGCUUACUGCUAGUAUUGAUUAAUAUUUAAAAAAAUUUUAGAUUCUAAUUGCAUUUCAAAAUACGAUGCUUUAUGAAAUCUUAAGCAAGUUCAAUGAAAUGAUGACAAUUACUCAUCUCAGGUUUUCUAGGUUUAUAAUUGCUAUUUGAGUUGCAAAUCAAUGAAGCUUGUGUAAUGGCAACAUUCAACUCUUAUCAGGAAAAAAAAUUUACAAAACUUAGUAUAAGACAAAUUUGUUGAUAAGCUCGCAACAUUGUUUUCAGACGAUAAAUAAAUCUAAAUUUUAUUUGGAAAAGAAGUAGAAUGGAACUUUUUUUUUUUUUUUUUUCUAUUUUUAUGCUAUAUUUUUCUAUACAAUGUUCUUAUAUCCGAAGAUAUUGUUGGCUUAGCAUGGGAACAGCCACAAAUAGUCAUUAAAACUAAUCCAAAGUAGCGUCCGUUAUUGACCAACAUUUUUGCGUAUUUUACAUUCAAAAAGUGACUUUUAGAUCAAGUCUGUAUAUCUGUCGAAAACCCAAUUGUAAAGUUAAAGCGAUGCUAUAGCCGAUGCCAUAUCUCAAUCUCUCUGUGUAUAUAUCUGUCAAAGAUCAAUCUACAAAUUUGUGACAUUUUCUCUAUUUCUUUUUGUUAAGGCUUUACCUGAAUAUUUGCUACCUAUUAUUUUUUUCAAAUAAAAUAUUGAAUUUAUAUUUAAAUAUAUAUAAUAUGACACCUAU
Hydra vulgaris (swiftwater hydra) is the source of this 723-nucleotide long non-coding RNA. RefSeq lists it as uncharacterized. NCBI's taxonomy places the organism in Eukaryota, Metazoa, Cnidaria, Hydrozoa, Anthoathecata, Hydridae. The record is from RefSeq and is a predicted model, not a curated record.